Molecule: long non-coding RNA, 479 nt
Organism: Suricata suricatta (meerkat)
Lineage: Eukaryota; Metazoa; Chordata; Mammalia; Carnivora; Herpestidae
Exons: 3
Source: RefSeq, a predicted model, not a curated record
CACACAUGCACCCAACCCUACCAUUAUCCAGGGAUAGCUGCUAUUAACAUUGUGACAUGUUUUUUUUAGUCUUCUUUUUCUAUAUAGACAACACUUCUGUGCUUAUUUUCACAUUUCAUAGCUGCCCUCAGUAUUCAUUCCAACUGGAUUAUCUUCAUAACAUGAUUUGUAGGAGUGAGGAAAGCCUAGCCUGAUUUAUGUCAUCCUACACUCCUGAGAUAUGGCCCUGGAUGGAUGUCCAAGGUGUAACUUGCAAGAGCUACCAAGCACUUCGGUAUCAGGUUAUAAGCAUGUGAAAGGCUUCCUUAUGCCCAUAACGACUUUGGCAGCUUUACUGACUUGACCUAGAGGGGAAGACAAACUUGAAAGAGCAAGAAAAAUUCCUCUGAAGGGAAAAUGGGGAUAAUACCACCUUCCUCCCAGGGUUGUUAGAAGUAAAUCCACUGAAGUAAUAUCUACAAACCAUCUGGUACCAUUCU